AGCUCGAUGAGUAGGGCGGGACACGUGGUAUCCUGUCUGAAUAUGGGGGGACCAUCCUCCAAGGCUAAAUACUCCUGACUGACCGAUAGUGAACCAGUACCGUGAGGGAAAGGCGAAAAGAACCCCGGCGAGGGGAGUGAAAAAGAACCUGAAACCGUGUACGUACAAGCAGUGGGAGCACAGAGCAAUCUGUGUGACUGCGUACCUUUUGUAUAAUGGGUCAGCGACUUAUAUUCUGUAGCAAGGUUAACCGAAUAGGGGAGCCGAAGGGAAACCGAGUCUUAACUGGGCGUUAAGUUGCAGGGUAUAGACCCGAAACCCGGUGAUCUAGCCAUGGGCAGGUUGAAGGUUGGGUAACACUAACUGGAGGACCGAACCGACUAAUGUUGAAAAAUUAGCGGAUGACUUGUGGCUGGGGGUGAAAGGCCAAUCAAACCGGGAGAUAGCUGGUUCUCCCCGAAAGCUAUUUAGGUAGCGCCUCGUGAAUUCAUCUCCGGGGGUAGAGCACUGUUUCGGCAAGGGGGUCAUCCCGACUUACCAACCCGAUGCAAACUGCGAAUACCGGAGAAUGUUAUCACGGGAGACACACGGCGGGUGCUAACGUCCGUCGUGAAGAGGGAAACAACCCAGACCGCCAGCUAAGGUCCCAAAGUCAUGGUUAAGUGGGAAACGAUGUGGGAAGGCCCAGACAGCCAGGAUGUUGGCUUAGAAGCAGCCAUCAUUUAAAGAAAGCGUAAUAGCUCACUGGUCGAGUCGGCCUGCGCGGAAGAUGUAACGGGGCUAAACCAUGCACCGAAGCUGCGGCAGCGACGCUUAUGCGUUGUUGGGUA
Molecule: ribosomal RNA, 830 nt
Filed under: Escherichia coli
Lineage: Bacteria; Pseudomonadati; Pseudomonadota; Gammaproteobacteria; Enterobacterales; Enterobacteriaceae
Description: partial 23S ribosomal RNA
Rfam family: Bacterial large subunit ribosomal RNA
Source: RNAcentral